RNAcentral lists this ribosomal RNA (253 nucleotides) under uncultured bacterium. Its description in RNAcentral is "partial 16S ribosomal RNA". It matches the Rfam family "Bacterial small subunit ribosomal RNA", at positions 524 to 776 of the family's 1533-position model. The record is from RNAcentral.
UACAGAGGGGGCGAGCGUUGUUCGGAAUUACUGGGCGUAAAGGGCGCGUAGGCGGCCCGCUAAGUCGGACGUGAAAUCCCCAGGCUCAACCUGGGAACUGCGUCCGAUACUGGCAGGCUUGAAUCCGGGAGAGGGAUGUGGAAUUCCAGGUGUAGCGGUGAAAUGCGUAGAUAUCUGGAGGAACACCGGUGGCGAAGGCGGCAUCCUGGACCGGUAUUGACGCUGAGGCGCGAAAGCUAGGGGAGCAAACAGG